RNAcentral lists this ribosomal RNA (440 nucleotides) under uncultured bacterium. RNAcentral describes it as "partial 16S ribosomal RNA". It matches the Rfam family "Bacterial small subunit ribosomal RNA", at positions 338 to 795 of the family's 1533-position model. The record is from RNAcentral.
CCUACGUGAGGCAGCAGUGGGGACUAUUGCACAAUGGGGGAAACCCUGAUGCAGCGACGCCGCGUGAGUGCAGAAGUAAUUCGUUAUGUAACGCUCUAUCAGCAGGGAAGAAAAUGACGGUACCUGAGUAAGAAGCCCCGGCUAACUACGUGCCAGCAGCCGCGGUAAUACGUAGGGGGCAAGCGUUAUCCGGAUUUACUGGGUGUAAAGGGAGCGUAGACGGCAGUGCAAGUCUGGAGUGAAAGGCGGGGGCUCAACCCCCGGACUGCUCUGGAAACUGUACGGCUGGAGUGCAGGAGAGGUAAGUGGAAUUCCUAGUGUAGCGGUGAAAUGCGUAGAUAUUAGGAGGAACACCAGUGGCGAAGGCGGCUUACUGGACUGUAACUGACGUUGAGGCUCGAAAGCGUGGGGAGCAAACAGGAUUAGAUACCCUAGUAGUC